GAUGAACGCUGGCGGUAUGCUUAACACAUGCAAGUCGAACGGUCACUUCGGUGAUAGUGGCGGACGGGUGAGUAACGCGUGAGAAUCUGUCUUCAGGUCGGGGACAACAGUUAGAAAUGACUGCUAAUACCGGAUGUGCCUUUGGGUGAAAGAUUUAUUGCCUGAAAAAGAGCUCGCGUCAGAUUAGCUAGUAGGUGGUGUAAGAGACUACCUAGGCUCCGAUCUGUAGCUGGUCUGAGAGGACGAUCAGCCACACUGGAACUGAGACACAGUCCAGACUCCUACGGGAGGCAGCAGUGGGGAAUUUUCCGCAAUGGGCGAGAGCCUGACGGAGCAAUACCGCGUGAGGGACGAAGGCUUUUGGGUCGUAAACCUCUUUUCUCAAGGAAGAUGAUGACGGUACUUGAGGAAUAAGCAGCGGCUAACUCUGUG
Molecule: ribosomal RNA, 432 nt
Filed under: uncultured bacterium
Lineage: Bacteria
Description: partial 16S ribosomal RNA
Rfam family: Bacterial small subunit ribosomal RNA
Source: RNAcentral